Molecule: ribosomal RNA, 492 nt
Filed under: uncultured bacterium
Lineage: Bacteria
Description: partial 16S ribosomal RNA
Rfam family: Bacterial small subunit ribosomal RNA
Source: RNAcentral
AGUGAACGCUGGCGGUAGGCCUAACACAUGCAAGUCGAACGGCAGCACAGUAAGAGCUUGCUCUUACGGGUUGCGAGUGGCGGACGGGUGAGGAAUACAUCGUACUCUACUUUUUCGUGGGGGAUAACGUAGGGAAACUUACGCUAAUACCGCAUACGACCUACGGGUGAAAGCAGGGGAUCUUUGGACCUUGCGCGAUUGAAUGAGCCGAUGUCGGAUUAGCUAGUUGGCGGGGUAAUGACCCACCAAGUCGACGAUCCGUCGCUGGUCUGAGAGGAUGGUCAGCGACACUGGAGCUGAGACACGGUCCAGACUCCUACGGGAGGCAGCAGUGGGGAAUAUUGGACAAUGGGCGCAAGCCUGAUACAGCCAUACCGCGUGGGUGAAGAAGGCCUUCGGGUUGUAAAGCCCUUUUGUUGGGAAAGAAAAGCAGCAGGUUAAUACCCCGCUGUUCUGACGGUACCCAAAGAAUAAGCACCGGCUAACUUCGUG